RNAcentral lists this ribosomal RNA (301 nucleotides) under uncultured bacterium. RNAcentral describes it as "partial 16S ribosomal RNA". It matches the Rfam family "Bacterial small subunit ribosomal RNA", at positions 509 to 809 of the family's 1533-position model. The record is from RNAcentral.
CAGCCGCCACGGGAAUACGUAGGUGGCAAGCGUUGUCCGGAAUUAUUGGGCGUAAAGGGCUCGCAGGCGGUUUCUUAAGUCUGACGUGAAAGCCCCCGGCUCAACCGGGGAGGGUCAUUGGAAACUGGGAAACUUGAGUGCAGAAGAGGAGAGUGGAAUUCCACGUGUAGCGGUGAAAUGCGUAGAGAUGUGGAGGAACACCAGUGGCGAAGGCGACUCUCUGGUCUGUAACUGACGCUGAGGAGCGAAAGCGUGGGGAGCGAACAGGAUUAGAUACCCGUGUAGUCCCUUCUCUUAUACA